This 484-nucleotide ribosomal RNA is filed under the name uncultured bacterium. RNAcentral's name for it is "partial 16S ribosomal RNA". It matches the Rfam family "Bacterial small subunit ribosomal RNA", at positions 29 to 507 of the family's 1533-position model. The record is from RNAcentral.
AUUGAACGCUGGCGGAAUGCUUUACACAUGCAAGUCGAACGGCAGCACGGGGGCAGCCCUGGUGGCGAGUGGCGAACGGGUGAGUAAUACAUCGGAACGUGCCCGGUCGUGGGGGAUAACGUAGCGAAAGUUACGCUAAUACCGCAUACGAUCUGAGGAUGAAAGCGGGGGACCUUCGGGCCUCGCGCGAUCGGAGCGGCCGAUGUCAGAUUAGGUAGUUGGUGGGGUAAAGGCCUACCAAGCCGACGAUCUGUAGCUGGUCUGAGAGGACGACCAGCCACACUGGGACUGAGACACGGCCCAGACUCCGACGGGAGGCAGCAGUGGGGAAUUUUGGACAAUGGGCGCAAGCCUGAUCCAGCCAUUCCGCGUGCAGGACGAAGGCCUUCGGGUUGUAAACUGCUUUUGUACGGAACGAAAAGGCUCUGGCUAAUACCUGGGGCUCAUGACGGUACCGUAAGAAUAAGCACCGGCUAACUACGUG